GAUGAACGCUGGCGGCGUGCCUAAUACAUGCAAGUCGAGCGAACAGACGAGGAGUUUGCUCCUCUGACGUUAGCGGCGGACGGGUGAGUAACACGUGGAUAACCUACCUAUAAGACUGGGAUAACUUCGGGAAACCGGAGCUAAUACCGGAUAAUAUCUUGAACCGCAUGGUUCAAUAGUGAAAGACGGUUUUGCUGUCACUUAUAGAUGGAUCCGCGCUGCUUUGGCUGGGUGGUAAGGUAACGGCUUAUCAAGGCAGCGAUGCGUAGCCGACCUGAGGGGCUGAUCGGCGACCCGGGAACUGAGACACGGUCCAGACUCCUACGGGAGGCAGCAGUCGGGAAUCUUCCGCAAUAGUCGAGAGCAUUACGGAGCAGCCCAACGCGUGUGAUGACGGUCUUCGGAUCGUAAAAACCUGUUAUUAGGGAAGAACAAAUGUCUACAUAAAUAUGCACAUAUUGACGGUACCUACACAGAAAGCCCCGGCUAACUACGUG
Molecule: ribosomal RNA, 497 nt
Filed under: uncultured bacterium
Lineage: Bacteria
Description: partial 16S ribosomal RNA
Rfam family: Bacterial small subunit ribosomal RNA
Source: RNAcentral